This is a long non-coding RNA of Nicotiana tabacum (common tobacco), 1482 nucleotides long. RefSeq lists it as uncharacterized. The record is from RefSeq and is a predicted model, not a curated record. Lineage: Eukaryota; Viridiplantae; Streptophyta; Magnoliopsida; Solanales; Solanaceae.
CUGCGAUUUUACUGUGUAAAAUACUAAGUUCUGUUCUCUCCCACCUACCUUCCAUGACUCCUCCUGUUUUUCUCCAAUUUCUUCCCAUUGUACAGUGCAGUCUAGAAAUUUCUAUUGCCUUUGAUUUUUAUUCGAUUUUGCACAAAUUUUUCUAGCAGUGCUUCAAAUGACUGGAUUCUCUGAGAUGUCUCGAAACCGAUUCUGCUGAAGAAGGUAUUCUACAACUGAACACAUUAGUAGGCUCAAUUUGUCGAGCACAUACAUGUCCAGAAUCAGGUAACAAAUGAAUCAAAUUGGUCAAAAAAUAGAAUCAGACAGGCGGCUUGCCACCAUUAAGAAGAUCUACCCACUUUCUCUCCUCCAAUUUCUUUUCAAAAGUAAUGAGAGGUUUAUGGGCAGAAGGGUAUGCAGAGAUUAAACAAUAUUAAUUUGGAACAGGUGAGAAGCAACAGAAUACUAAUAUGGUAUUUUAAUUUUUUUUCUUAUUUGAUAUAUGCUAUUUUGAGUGAAAUCUUUUAUCUGACGUCGAGUUAAACAGGUGAUACUAAUGCUUGAAAUAAGUUGCUUUGACAUUAGUUCUCUGCCAAUGUAUUGGUUUAUUUUUUAUUUUUUAUAAUUAAUUUGAGGUCUUACAGUAUAACUGAGAAUUGAAAAGGUAAUUUGGAUUGUCAUCAGCCACUAUGUAACUUUCUUUAUAAGGAGGUCUUAAGUUUCUUUUGUACUUUAGGCUAAAAAAAUAAAUUAUCAAAUUAAUUAUCUCAGAAAUUCAGGGCAUCUUAGAAAAUGAAUUGAUCUUAGUUCUGGUGAGAAGACUGUCUAGGAAAAUGACCGGUGAGAAAUAAUAUGAUAAUUUAUCUUGGUUUUGGAACUAUGGAGUGUCUUAGUAGCUAUAUGCGUUACCAAUCAACAAGAUAUGGAGUUUCUGAUAGCAAAAGCUUCUUGGACCAAGCAGACGGUAGUGGCUUAAUUUCUGUUAAAACUCAUUUAUUUGGUCUCUCUCAAAUUCUGUUAAGGAGCAUGUUUAGUUGUGAAAAAGACCUUAAUGAAUGUAUUUCAUGCCUUUAUACAAGAGAAUCGUAAUUUAAAUUGGCUGCAAUAAUGCCACUUCUUAUGCUCACAGCUCUAUAUUUCUCUCUUUGAUGAUCCCAUGUUAACAAAAUUUGGUUCCUCAAUCUGAUUUUUCGAGGAAAGCAUAUGGACAAGUUUCCAUUUGAUUGAGAUGGGGUGAGGUUGUCUAGUAUAACUUCUUUUCGUAUCAUGGUGGUGGAAAUGGAUAUUAGCAAAACUUAAGCAAAGUUUAAUGGCUGUUCUUCGGAACACUAGUAAAUGUUCAUUCUUUUUUUUUAUUCCAGUUAAUUUUCUCUUUAUUGUUGAUACGAAUCAUGUAUUAUGAAAUACGAUUGUAGUGUGUCUAAAGUUUGACAUUCUGACAGUUUUUACCAGCAACAAAAUAUAUGAAGCAAGUCCAAAAACUUUAAAAUG